UACGAAGGACCCGAGCGUGAUCCGGAUUUAUUGGGUUUAAAGGGUGCGUAGGCGUCCUGGAAAGUUACGGUUGAAAUCUCCUUGCUCAACAAGGAAACUGGCCGUAAAACUAUCAGGAUUGAGUACAUUUGAAGCGGGCGGAAUGUGUCAUGUAGCGGUGAAAUGCUUAGAUAUGACACAGAACACCAAUUGCGAAGGCAGCUCGCUAAACUGUAACUGACGCUGAGGCACGAAAGCGUGGGGAUCAAACAGG
Molecule: ribosomal RNA, 253 nt
Filed under: uncultured bacterium
Lineage: Bacteria
Description: partial 16S ribosomal RNA
Rfam family: Bacterial small subunit ribosomal RNA
Source: RNAcentral